AGCGAACGCUGGCGGCAGGCCUAACACAUGCAAGUCGAACGAACCUUUCGGGGUUAGUGGCGGACGGGGGAGUAACACGUGGGAACGUGCCUUUAGGUUCGGAAUAACUCAGGGAAACUUGUGCUAAUACCGAAUGUGCCCUUCGGGGGAAAGAUCUAUCGCCUAUAGAGCGGCCCGCGUCUGAUUAGCUAGUUGGUUGGGGUAAUGGCUCACCAAGGCGACGAUCAGUAGCUGGUCUGAGCGGAUGAUCAGCCACAUUGGGACUGAGACACGGACCAAAAUCCGACGGGAGGCAGCAGUGGGGAAUCUUGCGCAAUGGGCGAAAGCCUGACGCAGCCAUGCCGCGUGAAUGAUGAAGGUCUUAGGAUUGUAAAAUUCUUUCACCGGGGACGAUAAUGACGGUACCCGGAGAAGAAGCCCCGGCUAACUUCGUG
RNAcentral lists this ribosomal RNA (434 nucleotides) under uncultured bacterium. Its description in RNAcentral is "partial 16S ribosomal RNA". It matches the Rfam family "Bacterial small subunit ribosomal RNA", at positions 29 to 507 of the family's 1533-position model. The record is from RNAcentral.